AGUGGGCUGGGUGUGGUGGCAGAACAGUCUGGCACAAGCUCCUGUGAGUCACCAGCACCAGCUCUGGAACAAGAGGCCCUUCCCUAGGGUGCUGACAGGGCUGCUUCUGCUGCUGCCACAGCUCUGAACCCAGCAGCCCAGGGUGUGAUGGGGCAAAUGCACUAGCCAUACAAGGAGGCAAGCACUGCUAAAUCUGCCACAAGGGGGAGACUUUGCCCCCACCUCCAUGGUACAGAUGUCAGACAAACUCUGUAUCUAGAGGGCAAGACUGCCAUCCCUAUGGCAAUGACCCACCAGGAUUUGCCCUGGAGGGCAACAUCUCCACUGCCUCCUAGCAAUCAUGCCAUUGACACCACAGCUAAGAUGGGGAGCUGGCCCCAGGGAUGGGGAGCUGGGCUGGGACACUACCCACCCCUGACCAUAGAUCUGUGUCCUUGUCUGCACAACACAACAGUGCCAGGCCAGGACACCCAAGCAAGAAGCAACCUGGCCACAUUAGCAUGGCACCCUGCCUGGGAUAACUAUACCUAGCUUUUCUGCAUGGCUGUUAGUCUGGGCUAGCUGCCAUGUUAAUGGACUAUCUUGAUUUCAGUGAAUGACCUAGCUCGAGCAUCUUUGCCCAGCACUUCACUGGGCCAUAAAGAUCCAUGCCAAAUAGUCCAAGAUCUGGUGCCUCCAUGGAGCAAUAUGCACUCUCCAUUUCUGUUCAGGAACGCUUUUCUGCAAGGGUGUUGGGGGUUUUCUAACUGUCCUAGUCCUGCA
Molecule: long non-coding RNA, 762 nt
Organism: Gavialis gangeticus (Gharial)
Lineage: Eukaryota; Metazoa; Chordata; Crocodylia; Gavialidae
Exons: 3
Source: RefSeq, a predicted model, not a curated record